GCCGGUGUGGCGGAAUUGGCAGACGCGCUGGAUUCAAAAUCCAGUUCCCUUUGCGGGAGUAUCGGUUCGACCCCGAUCACCGGUA
RNAcentral lists this transfer RNA (85 nucleotides) under Bombilactobacillus apium. It matches the Rfam family "tRNA". From Rfam's summary of the family: Transfer RNA (tRNA) molecules are approximately 80 nucleotides in length. Their secondary structure includes four short double-helical elements and three loops (D, anti-codon, and T loops). Lineage: Bacteria; Bacillati; Bacillota; Bacilli; Lactobacillales; Lactobacillaceae. The record is from Rfam by way of RNAcentral.